GGUCAAGCGAACAAGUGCAUGUGGUGGAUGCCUUGGCGAUCACAGGCGAUGAAGGACGCGGUAGCCUGCGAAAAGCUUCGGGGAGCUGGCAAACAAGCUUUGAUCCGGAGAUGUCCGAAUGGGGAAACCCGGCCCGUAUGGGUCAUCCCUGACUGAAUACAUAGGUCAGGGAAGCGAACGCGGCGAACUGAAACAUCUAAGUAGCUGCAGGAACAGAAAUCAACCGAGAUUCCCAGAGUAGUGGCGAACGAAAUGGGAAGAGCCUUGUACUCUUUAGCAGUGUUGUUAGCAGAACGGGAUGGAAAGCCCGGCCAUAGCAGGUGAUAGCCCUGUAUGCGAAAACAGCGUUGUGGAACUAGGUGUACGACAAGUAGGGCGGGACACGUGAAAUCCUGUCUGAAGAUGGGGGGACCAUCCUCCAAGGCUAAAUACUCGUGAUCGACCGAUAGUGAACCAGUACCGUGAGGGAAAGGCGAAAAGAACCCCGGGAGGGGAGUGAAAUAGAUCCUGAAACCGCAUGCAUACAAACAGUCGGAGCCUGGAAACGGGUGACGGCGUACCUUUUGUAUAAUGGGUCAGCGACUUACAUUCAGUGGCAAGCUUAACCGAUUAGGGAAGGCGUAGCGAAAGCGAGUCCGAAUAGGGCGUUCAGUCGCUGGGUGUAGACCCGAAACCAGACGAUCUAUCCAUGGCCAGGUUGAAGGUGCGGUAACACGUACUGGAGGACCGAACCCACUAACGUUGAAAAGUUAGGGGAUGAGCUGUGGAUAGGGGUGAAAGGCUAAACAAGUCUGGAAAUAGCUGGUUCUCUCCGAAAACUAUUUAGGUAGUGCCUCGUGUCUCACCUUCGGGGGUAGAGCACUGUCAUGGUUGGGGGGUCUAUUGCUGAUUACCCCGCCAUAGCAAACUCCGAAUACCGAAGAGUGCAAUCACGGGAGACAGACAUCGGGUGCUAACGUCCGGUGUCAAGAGGGAAACAACCCAGACCGCCAGCUAAGGUCCCUAAGAUUGGCUAAGUGGGAAACGAAGUGGGAAGGCUAAAACAGUCAGGAGGUUGGCUUAGAAGCAGCCAUCCUUUAAAGAAAGCGUAAUAGCUCACUGAUCGAGUCGUCCUGCGCGGAAGAUGUAACGGGGCUAAGCCAGUCACCGAAGCUGCGGAUGCACGUAAGUGCAUGGUAGGAGAGCGUUCUGUAAGCCUGUGAAGGUGUCUUGUAAAGGAUGCUGGAGGUAUCAGAAGUGCGAAUGCUGACAUGAGUAGCGAUAAAGGGGUGAAAAGCCCCCUCGCCGUAAGCCCAAGGUUUCCUACGCAACGUUCAUCGGCGUAGGGUGAGUCGGCCCCUAAGGCGAGGCAGAGAUGCGUAGCUGAUGGGAAGCAGGUUAAUAUUCCUGCACCGUCGUAUGAUGCGAUGGGGGGACGGAUCGCGGAAGGUUGUCCGGGUGUUGGAAGUCCCGGUCCCUGCAUUGGAGAAGGCGCUUAGGCAAAUCCGGGCGCGGAAUUCAAGGAUGUGGGGCGAGCGGCCUAGUGCUGCGAAGCAAUUGGAAGUGGUUCCAAGAAAAGCCUCUAAGCUUCAGUCAUACGAGACCGUACCGCAAACCGACACAGGUGGGCGAGAUGAGUAUUCUAAGGCGCUUGAGAGAACUCGGGAGAAGGAACUCGGCAAAUUGGUACCGUAACUUCGGGAUAAGGUACGCCCUUGUAGCUUGACUGGCCUGCGCCAGGAGGGUGAAGGGGUUGCAAUAAAAUGGUGGCUGCGACUGUUUAAUAAAAACACAGCACUCUGCAAACACGAAAGUGGACGUAUAGGGUGUGACGCCUGCCCGGUGCCGGAAGAUUAAAUGAUGGGGUGCAAGCUCUUGAUUGAAGUCCCGGUAAACGGCGGCCGUAACUAUAACGGUCCUAAGGUAGCGAAAUUCCUUGUCGGGUAAGUUCCGACCUGCACGAAUGGCGUAACGAUGGCCACACUGUCUCCUCCCGAGACUCAGCGAAGUUGAAGUGUUUGUGAUGAUGCAAUCUCCCCGCGGCUAGACGGAAAGACCCCAUGAACCUUUACUGUAGCUUUGCAUUGGACUUUGAACCGAUCUGUGUAGGAUAGGUGGGAGGCUUUGAAGCGUGGACGCUAGUCUGCGUGGAGCCGUCCUUGAAAUACCACCCUGGUUUGUUUGAGGUUCUAACCUUGGUCCGUGAAUCCGGAUCGGGGACAGUGCAUGGUAGGCAGUUUGACUGGGGCGGUCUCCUCCCAAAGUGUAACGGAGGAGUUCGAAGGUACGCUUGGUACGGUCGGACAUCGUACCUAAAGUGCAAUGGCAAAAGCGUGCUUAACUGCGAGACCGACAAGUCGAGCAGGUGCGAAAGCAGGACAUAGUGAUCCGGUGGUUCUGAAUGGAAGGGCCAUCGCUCAACGGAUAAAAGGUACUCUGGGGAUAACAGGCUGAUACCGCCCAAGAGUUCAUAUCGACGGCGGUGUUUGGCACCUCGAUGUCGGCUCAUCUCAUCCUGGGGCUGUAGCCGGUCCCAAGGGUAUGGCUGUUCGCCAUUUAAAGAGGUACGUGAGCUGGGUUUAAAACGUCGUGAGACAGUUUGGUCCCUAUCUGCCGUGGGCGUUGGAAUCUUGACGGGGGCUGCUCCUAGUACGAGAGGACCGGAGUGGACGUACCGCUGGUGUACCUGUUGUCUCGCCAGAGGCAUCGCAGGGUAGCUAUGUACGGAAGAGAUAACCGCUGAAAGCAUCUAAGCGGGAAACUCGCCUGAAGAUGAGGAUUCCCUGGAGCCUUGAGCUCCUUGAAGGGUCGUUCGAGACCAGGACGUUGAUAGGCUGGGUGUGGAAGCGCAGUAAUGCGUUAAGCUAACCAGUACUAAUUGCCCGUAAGGCUUGAUCCU
RNAcentral lists this ribosomal RNA (2878 nucleotides) under Cupriavidus sp. D39. Its description in RNAcentral is "23S ribosomal RNA". It matches the Rfam family "Bacterial large subunit ribosomal RNA". Lineage: Bacteria; Pseudomonadati; Pseudomonadota; Betaproteobacteria; Burkholderiales; Burkholderiaceae. The record is from RNAcentral.